Molecule: ribosomal RNA, 301 nt
Filed under: uncultured bacterium
Lineage: Bacteria
Description: partial 16S ribosomal RNA
Rfam family: Bacterial small subunit ribosomal RNA
Source: RNAcentral
CAGUAGCCACGGGAAUACGAAGGGGGCUAGCGUUGCUCGGAAUGACUGGGCGUAAAGGGCGCGUAGGCGGCGGCCAAAGUCAGGCGUGAAAUUCCCGGGCUCAACCUGGGGGCUGCGCUUGAUACUUGGUUGCUUGAGUGGGGAAGAGGGUCGUGGAAUUCCCAGUGUAGAGGUGAAAUUCGUAGAUAUUGGGAAGAACACCGGUGGCGAAGGCGGCGACCUGGUCCUUUACUGACGCUGAGGCGCGAAAGCGUGGGGAGCAAACAGGAUUAGAUACCCGAGUAGUCCCUGUCUCUUAUAC